Molecule: microRNA precursor, 98 nt
Filed under: Marmota monax (woodchuck)
Lineage: Eukaryota; Metazoa; Chordata; Mammalia; Rodentia; Sciuridae
Source: RNAcentral
ACACAGGUCCCUGGAAGCUUGUUAAAGUGCAGAUGCUGACUCGGCGGGGUUGGUCCCUGAGAUUCUGCAUUCCUGUCAAGCUCCCAGGAGAUGCCCAG